This 292-nucleotide ribosomal RNA is filed under the name uncultured bacterium. RNAcentral describes it as "partial 16S ribosomal RNA". It matches the Rfam family "Bacterial small subunit ribosomal RNA", at positions 505 to 796 of the family's 1533-position model. The record is from RNAcentral.
GUGUCAGCCGCCGCGGUAAUACGUAGGGUGCGAGCGUUAAUCGGAAUUACUGGGCGUAAAGCGUGCGCAGGCGGUUUCGUAAGCUGGAGGUGAAAUCCCCGGGCUUAACCUGGGAAUGGCCUUCAGGACUGCGAGGCUAGAGUGCGGCAGAGGGAGGUGGAAUUCCACGUGUAGCAGUGAAAUGCGUAGAUAUGUGGAGGAACACCGAUGGCGAAGGCAGCCUCCUGGGCCAGCACUGACGCUCAUGCACGAAAGCGUGGGGAGCAAACAGGAUUAGAAACCCUCGUAGUCC